This 481-nucleotide ribosomal RNA is filed under the name uncultured bacterium. RNAcentral describes it as "partial 16S ribosomal RNA". It matches the Rfam family "Bacterial small subunit ribosomal RNA", at positions 28 to 507 of the family's 1533-position model. The record is from RNAcentral.
GAUGAACGCUAGCGGCAGGCCUAAUACAUGCCAGUCGAACGAGAUUAAGAGGCUUGCUUCUUAUGAAAGUGGCGCACGGGUGCGUAACGCGUAUGCAACCUACCUUAAUCAGGGGGAUAGCCCGAAGAAAUUCGGAUUAAGACCGCAUAAAAACACAGGAUAGCAUUAUCCAAUGUUCAAAUAUUUAUAGGAUUAAGAUGGGCAUGCGUGUCAUUAGCUAGUUGGCGGGGUAACGGCCCACCAAGGCGACGAUGACUAGGGGAUCUGAGAGGAUGACCCCCACACUGGUACUGAGACACGGACCAGACUCCUACGGGAGGCAGCAGUAAGGAAUAUUGGUCAAUGGAGGGAACUCUGAACCAGCCAUGCCGCGUGCAGGAAGACAGCCCUCUGGGUCGUAAACUGCUUUUAGUCGGGAAUAAACCUUUCUACGUGUAGGAAGCUGAAUGUACCGAAGGAAUAAGGAUCGGCUAACUCCGUG